This 360-nucleotide small RNA is filed under the name Pongo abelii (Sumatran orangutan). RNAcentral describes it as "processed transcript". The record is from RNAcentral. Lineage: Eukaryota; Metazoa; Chordata; Mammalia; Primates; Hominidae.
CGGCUGCAGCGCGCAUUUGGGCUCCGAGGAAGUUGACCGAGGCGGCUGCCGCAGGAUCCCGGGUCCGGAUUGCACGAAGCCCGCGCGGCCGUCUCCUCCGCGCGCCACCCCGGCGCCUCCCGCGAGCUCCACUUCCCAUCUGCUAUUGUUUCCGAUUGUUUUCCGGUGGCGAGCCCGGCUCCGAAACUUACAAAGUGUUGGAUUUCCCCUGUUCGAACUGAGGGACUGCAGACCGCCUCUGGGUAGCUGGAUGAAGCCCACCCCGUCCCCUUCUGGAGUGCCCGUGCGCAGCGGAGAUGCCACCUUCCCCAAAGCUAUGGACAACGUGACGGUCCGGCAGGGGGAGAGCGCCACCCUCAG